Neotoma lepida (desert woodrat) is the source of this 73-nucleotide transfer RNA. It matches the Rfam family "tRNA". Rfam says of the family: Transfer RNA (tRNA) molecules are approximately 80 nucleotides in length. Their secondary structure includes four short double-helical elements and three loops (D, anti-codon, and T loops). The record is from Rfam. NCBI's taxonomy places the organism in Eukaryota, Metazoa, Chordata, Mammalia, Rodentia, Cricetidae.
GGAGGGAUGGCUCUGUGGUUAAAAGCACUGGCUGUUCUCCCAGAGAACCUGGGUUCAAUUCCCAGUACCCACA